This 379-nucleotide unclassified non-coding RNA is filed under the name uncultured cyanobacterium. RNAcentral describes it as "contains 16S-23S intergenic spacer region". Lineage: Bacteria; Bacillati; Cyanobacteriota. The record is from RNAcentral.
UCCGGUUUGUCACCGGCAGUCACGUUAGAGUGCCCGGCAUAACCCGUUGGCAACUAACAUCGAGGGUUGCGCUCGUUGCGGGACUUAACCCAACAUCUCACGACACGAGCUGACGACAGCCAUGCACCACCUGUCACCGAGUUCCUUGCGGCACACCAGUGUUUCCACCGGCUUCUCGGGAUGUCAAACCUUGGUAAGGUUCUUCGCGUUGCAUCGAAUUAAACCACAUGCUCCACCGCUUGUGCGGGCCCCCGUCAAUUCCUUUGAGUUUCAGUCUUGCGACCGUACUCCCCAGGCGGGAUACUUAACGCGUUAGCUACGGCACCGCGGGGGUCGAUACCCACGACACCUAGUAUCCAUCGUUUACGGCUCGGACUAC